This 122-nucleotide non-coding RNA is filed under the name Gottschalkia acidurici. Its description in RNAcentral is "Clostridium acidurici MoCo sequence". It matches the Rfam family "Molybdenum/Tungsten riboswitch aptamer (Moco RNA motif)". The record is from RNAcentral. Lineage: Bacteria; Bacillati; Bacillota; Tissierellia; Tissierellales; Gottschalkiaceae. RNAcentral also lists the same sequence under 1 other name.
UAUAUUCAAAUUUUCCGAGCUUAGAUUUCUAAAGAAAGAAAUUCCAUGAAAUUUAAGACCAUGGGUAUAAAGGGAAACUUUUGUGCCUCCCACGUUUGGAAAGGAAGGUUUGAGUAUGUUUA